This 496-nucleotide ribosomal RNA is filed under the name Streptococcus agalactiae. Its description in RNAcentral is "bacterial SSU rRNA". It matches the Rfam family "Bacterial small subunit ribosomal RNA", at positions 49 to 527 of the family's 1533-position model. Lineage: Bacteria; Bacillati; Bacillota; Bacilli; Lactobacillales; Streptococcaceae. The record is from RNAcentral.
CUAUACAUGCAGUAGAACGCUGAUGUUUGGUGUUUACACUAGACUGAUGAGUUGCGAACGGGUGAGUAACGCGUAGGUAACCUGCCUCAUAGCGGGGGAUAACUAUUGGAAACGAUAGCUAAUACCGCAUAAGAGUAAUUAACACAUGUUAGUUAUUUAAAAGGAGCAAUUGCUUCACUGUGAGAUGGACCUGCGUUGUAUUAGCUAGUUGGUGAGGUAAAGGCUCACCAAGGCGACGAUACAUAGCCGACCUGAGAGGGUGAUCGGCCACACUGGGACUGAGACACGGCCCAGACUCCUACGGGAGGCAGCAGUAGGGAAUCUUCGGCAAUGGACGGAAGUCUGACCGAGCAACGCCGCGUGAGUGAAGAAGGUUUUCGGAUCGUAAAGCUCUGUUGUUAGAGAAGAACGUUGGUAGGAGUGGAAAAUCUACCAAGUGACGGUAACUAACCAGAAAGGGACGGCUAACUACGUGCCAGCAGCGGCCGGUAAUAAA